AAUGAACGUUGGCGGCGUGGAUUAGGCAUGCAAGUCGAGCGGGUAUAGCAAUAUAUCAGCGGCGAAAGGGAGAGUAACGCGUAGCUACGUACCCCGGAGUCCAGAAUAGCCAGCCGAAAGGCUGGGUAAUGCUGGAUGACGUCUCCGGACUAAAGGUGUGAUUCCGCUUUGGGAGCGGGCUGCGUUGUACUAGCUUGUUGGUGGGGUAAUGGCCUACCAAGGCGAUGAUGCAUACCGGGCGUGAGAGCGUGGCCCGGCUCACUGGGACUGAGACACUGCCCAGACACCUACGGGUGGCUGCAGUCGAGAAUCUUCCGCAAUGGGACGAAAGUCUGACGGAGCGACGCCGCGUGCGGGAUGAAGGCCCUUGGGUUGUAAACCGCUGUCAGAGGGGAUGAAAUCUUCGGAGGUGCUCCUCCAAAGUUGACAGAGCCUCAAAGGAAGCACGGGCUAAGUACGUGCCAGCAGCCGCGGUAAAGUGACU
This 484-nucleotide ribosomal RNA is filed under the name uncultured bacterium. RNAcentral's name for it is "bacterial SSU rRNA". It matches the Rfam family "Bacterial small subunit ribosomal RNA", at positions 29 to 531 of the family's 1533-position model. The record is from RNAcentral.